AGAGUUAGCCGUCUCUUCCUCUUGAGGUACUAUCAACCUUGCACGCUUCUCACGCACAAGGCUUGCUCCCUCAUGACAGCGGUUUACAAUCCGAAGACCUUCUUCCCGCACGCGGCGUCGCACCAUCAGGGUUUCCCCCAUUGUGAAUGAUUCUCGACUGCUGCCACCCGUAGGAGUCUGGACCGUGUCUCAGUUCCAGUGUGGCCGAUCAGCCUCUCAGCUCGGCUACCCAUCGUCGGCUUGGUGAGCCGUUACCUCACCAACUACCUAAUGGGACGCGAACCCCUCUUUCAGCGGAUUUCUCCUUUGACCUCAUCCCGAUGUCGGGUCGUGGUCUUAUGCGGUAUUAGCACUUGUUUCCAGGUGUUAUCCCCCUCUGUAAGGCAGGUUGUUCACGCGUUACUCACCCGUUCGCCACUAAGAUAAAACCGAAUUCUAUCUCCGUUCGACUUGCAUGUGUUAGGCACGCCGCCAGCGUUCGUCCUGAGCCAGGAUCAAACUCUGA
RNAcentral lists this ribosomal RNA (505 nucleotides) under uncultured bacterium. RNAcentral's name for it is "partial 16S ribosomal RNA". The record is from RNAcentral.